RNAcentral lists this transfer RNA (71 nucleotides) under Choloepus hoffmanni (Hoffmann's two-fingered sloth). RNAcentral describes it as "tRNA-Leu". Lineage: Eukaryota; Metazoa; Chordata; Mammalia; Pilosa; Megalonychidae. The record is from RNAcentral.
ACUUUCAUAGGAUAUAAAGCAAUCCAUUGGUCUUAGGAACCAAAAAACUGGUGCAACUCCAGAUGAAAGUA